This 433-nucleotide ribosomal RNA is filed under the name Belisana sp. DNA100437888. RNAcentral's name for it is "partial 16S ribosomal RNA". Lineage: Eukaryota; Metazoa; Arthropoda; Arachnida; Araneae; Pholcidae. The record is from RNAcentral.
UGCUUAUAGAAUUAAUUUUAAGUAAAACCUGCUCAAUGGUAUACAACUCAAUAGCCGCAGUUAACCUGUGCUAAGGUAGCAUAAUCACUUGCUUUCUAAAUAAAAGAUAGAAUGAAAGGUUAAACGAUAAAAAACUAUUUCAUACUUUUUAACUAAAUUGGUUUUGACGUUAAAAAACUUCAAUUAAUUAAUAAGACGACAAGACCCUAACAAACUUAUUAAUUUAGUUGGGGCAACAAUAUAAUAAAAUUUUAUAAUUAAUUAUAAAUUCAACUUAUCAAAUUAAUAAAAACCUAGUUACUGAAGGGAUAACAGCGCAAUCUCUUUUAAGAGUUCAUAUCUAAAAAGAAGUUUACGACCUCGAUGUUGAAUUAAUUUAUCUAUAUAAACGCAAAAGUUUUACUAAGACAGUCUGUUCGACUAUUAAUAAAUU